CAGUAGCCGCGGGAAUACGUAGGGUGCGAGCGUUAAUCGGAAUUACUGGGCGUAAAGCGUGCGCAGGCGGUUGUACAAGACAGAUGUGAAAUCCCCGGGCUUAACCUGGGAAUGGCAUUUGUGACUGUACGGCUAGAGUGUGUCAGAGGGGGGUAGAAUUCCACGUGUAGCAGUGAAAUGCGUAGAUAUGUGGAGGAAUACCGAUGGCGAAGGCAGCCCCCUGGGAUAACACUGACGCUCAUGCACGAAAGCGUGGGGAGCAAACAGGAUUAGAUACCCCAGUAGUCCCUGUCUCUUAUAC
RNAcentral lists this ribosomal RNA (301 nucleotides) under uncultured bacterium. RNAcentral describes it as "partial 16S ribosomal RNA". It matches the Rfam family "Bacterial small subunit ribosomal RNA", at positions 509 to 807 of the family's 1533-position model. The record is from RNAcentral.